Molecule: long non-coding RNA, 688 nt
Filed under: Monodelphis domestica (gray short-tailed opossum)
Lineage: Eukaryota; Metazoa; Chordata; Mammalia; Didelphimorphia; Didelphidae
Description: lncRNA (ENSMODG00000042087.1)
Source: RNAcentral
UACAAAACUAGUUUUGCUCUCUCCUUUUACAAGAUUUCUCAAGUGGAAUCAACUACUUUCUGAGAUAAUGAACCUUUCUGAUGGGGCUACAAAUAGACUUGCAAAUUCUCCAUCAAAGCCCAUUCCAGCAGCUUCCUGCAUUUCUCUAUUUUGUGUUUUCUUUACGUGUCCCUGCAUGGCCCGUGGAAUGUCCAAAUGUUUCAGUGGUUGUGAAAUUUAUUCAGAAGUGAAGGAAUCAUUUCCCUUACUCAGAGUCUAUUUGGCAGACAGCUUGAGCACAUUUGGAGAAUGAUGCCUUCAGGGUGACAAAUGGAGAGGCCCCAGAUAAUCAUCUGCUAUUUUGGCUCCUGAAAUUGCCAAUUAUAGGAUUGUAUCUACAGUCAAUUCUCAAUUUACCUACAUGUCGAUCAUUCACAGAAAAAUUUUAUUCCUUGACUUCCCCCUCCACCUAGCAGAUUUUGAGACAUGCUCCCCAAUUUCUCCUUUCUACUAACCAUUGUUCCCAUUUUUAAUGAGUGAAAUAGGCUCAGUUUGGUGAAUUUCUCCAGUAUUGCUCAGGCUCCUGGACUUAGGAAUAGAGAAAUCAAAUGGAAGGUCCUCUCCAGGGAAGAAGAUUAGGAGAUCAAAAUGGUAAGAGGUCAGGGGGUAAAGAGGGAAACAUUAAAGUAGCACAUCAUUGAGUUAGCGU